CACACCGCCCGUCACACCAUGGGAGUUGGCUUUACCUAAAGACGGUGCGCUAACCAGCAAUGGAGGCAGCCGGCCACGGUAGGGUCAGCGACUGGGGUG
RNAcentral lists this ribosomal RNA (99 nucleotides) under uncultured bacterium. RNAcentral's name for it is "partial 16S ribosomal RNA". It matches the Rfam family "Bacterial small subunit ribosomal RNA", at positions 1386 to 1482 of the family's 1533-position model. The record is from RNAcentral.